This 761-nucleotide ribosomal RNA is filed under the name uncultured bacterium. RNAcentral describes it as "bacterial SSU rRNA". It matches the Rfam family "Bacterial small subunit ribosomal RNA", at positions 59 to 816 of the family's 1533-position model. The record is from RNAcentral.
CAGUCGAACGAAGCUUGACGGAUGAUUUCUUCGGAAUGAAACCAGAUAUGACUUAGUGGCGGACGGGUGAGUAACACGUGAGCAACCUGCCUUUCAGAGGGGGAUAACGGCUGGAAACGGUCGCUAAUACCGCAUGACGUGUUCGGACGGCAUCAUCUGAACAUCAAAGAUUUAUCGCUGAAAGAUGGGCUCGCGUCUGAUUAGAUAGUUGGUGGGGUAACGGCCUACCAAGUCUACGAUCAGUAGCCGGACUGAGAGGUUGAACGGCCACAUUGGGACUGAGAUACGGCCCAGACUCCUACGGGAGGCAGCAGUGGGGAAUAUUGCACAAUGGGGGAAACCCUGAUGCAGCAACGCCGCGUGAAGGAUGACGGUUUUCGGAUUGUAAACUUCUUUUCUUAGUGACGAAGACAGUGACGGUAGCUAAGGAAUAAGCAUCGGCUAACUACGUGCCAGCAGCCGCGGUAAUACGUAGGAUGCAAGCGUUAUCCGGAUUUACUGGGUGUAAAGGGAGCGCAGGCGGGACUGCAAGUUGGAUGUGAAAUACCGUGGCUUAACCACGGAACUGCAUCCAAAACUGUAGUUCUUGAGUGAAGUAGAGGCAAGCGGAAUUCCGAGUGUAGCGGUGAAAUGCGUAGAUAUUCGGAGGAACACCAGUGGCGAAGGCGGCUUGCUGGGCUUUAACUGACGCUGAGGCUCGAAAGUGUGGGGAGCAAACAGGAUUAGAUACCCUGGUAGUCCACACUGUAAACGAUGAUAGC